AACGAACGCUGGCGGCAUGCCUAACACAUGCAAGUCGAACGAGCCCUUCGGGUCUAGGGGCCCACGGGUGCGUAACGCGUGGGAACCUGCCCUUAGGUUCGGAAUAACUCUCCGAAAGGGGUACUAAUACCGGAUAAUGUCUUCUGCCCAAAGAUUUAUCGCCCUGGGAUGGGCCCGCGUGGGAUUAGCUAGUUGGUAGGGUAAAAGCCUACUAAGGCGACGAUCCAUAGCUGGUCUGAGAGGAUGAUCAGCCACACUGGGACUGAGACACGGCCCAGACUCCUACGGGAGGCAGCAGAGGGGGAUAUAGGACAAUGGGCGAAAGCCUGAUCCAGCAAUGCCGCGUGAGUGAUGAAGGCCUUAGGGUUGUAAAGCUCUUUUACCCGGGAUGAUAAUGACAGUACCGGGAGAAUAAGCCACGGCUAACUCCGUG
RNAcentral lists this ribosomal RNA (433 nucleotides) under uncultured bacterium. Its description in RNAcentral is "partial 16S ribosomal RNA". It matches the Rfam family "Bacterial small subunit ribosomal RNA", at positions 29 to 507 of the family's 1533-position model. The record is from RNAcentral.